AUCGGAUCCAAAUUGAUUGGAGCAGCAGACAGCAGUACAGGUACGGCUGUGUGCCUAGUAGAAGCACCAAGAAAGGACGAGAGAGAGAGAAUGUCCUUGAAGCUUCUCCGGCUGCGUACCGCCGGGCAAUGCCACUUCCUGCCGCCGCUGCUGCUGCUACAUCUCGUCCCCGCCCUCCUGCUCCUGCCGCCCUCACGCCCGGCGUUGGCGGCGGCGGCGACGGUGGUCACCCACCUGCCAGGAUUCGAUGGCCCUCUGCCCUUCAACCUUGAAACAGGAUACGUGGGCGUGGAGGAGGAGGCCGGGGCGGAGCUCUUCUACUAUUUCGUCGAGUCGGAGAGGAGCCCCGGCACGGACCCGCUGCUCCUAUGGCUCACCGGCGGUCCCCGCUGCUCGGUCAUCAUGGGCCUGGCCUUUGAAAUCGGUCCUCUGAAGUUUGUGUUGGCACCGUAUAGUGGCGGUUUGCCGGAGUUGGUGUAUAACCCAUAUUCAUGGACAAAGAUGGCAAACAUACUCCUGUUGGAUUCACCGGUGGGUUCAGGUUUUUCGUUCGCUCGUGAUCCCAAAGGCUACGAUGUUGGGGACUACUCAUCAUCUUCGCAGGUCCAAACAUUUCUGAAUAAGUGGUUCACGGAUCACCCGCAAUACCUUUCAAAUCCUUUCUACAUUGGUGGAGAUUCAUAUGCUGGAAAGGUGAUUCCACUUAUUGGACAAGGCAUUUCAGAAGGAAUUGACAUGAGGCAACAACCUGUUAUCAAUCUCAAGGGAUAUCUGGUUGGCAACCCUAUAACAGAUCCAAAGUUUGAUGAAAAUUACAAAAUUCCAAGUGCUCAUGGCUUUGGGAUAAUAUCUGAUCAAAUAUAUGAGAGUGCGGUGAAGAAUUGUAAAGGAGAUUAUGUUACCCCCGUGAAUGAAAUGUGUGUUGAAGUGUUGCAUAUUAUCAAUAAUCUCAUUUCUGAAAUUUCAAUUGAACACAUCUUGUACAAAAAGUGUGACGUUGUUGCGCCAAAGACCAUAGAUGAUGCUUCAAGAAGAAAGUUUUUGUUGGAAGAAUCUACCCAAUUAAACAAGCCACCUGCUCGUCCAACUGUAGAUUGUUUUACAUAUGGUUAUUACCUAGCUUACUUUUGGAUGAACAACAACAUGACCAGAAAAGCUAUCGGGAUCAAGGAGGGAACAACCAGUGAGUGGAUACAAUGCAACAUAGGGCUCCCCUACACGUAUGAGAUACCGAGCAGUAUACCAUACCAUCUCAACCUCACUACGAGAGGUUAUCGUGCACUUGUGUACAGCGGAGACCAUGAUCUGGAGGCACCAUUUCUUGGCACACAAGCAUGGAUAAGAUCCUUAAACUUUUCGAUCGUUGAUGAAUGGAGAGCAUGGCAUCUUAGUGGGCAGGCUGCUGGAUUUACCAUAGAAUACACAAACAAUAUGACAUUUACCACAGUGAAGGGUGCUGGUCAUACUGCUCCAGAAUACCGGCCUAAAGAAUGUUUUGCCAUGGCUCAAAGGUGGUUGGACAAUGAGCCUCUCUGAGAAAGAUUUGGUGUGGGAGAGAAAAGCAUCCAUCAAGGCUAGAUUUAUCUAAUCAACUUUGAAUGUGAAUUAAAUGGGCGAACUGUGUUAGGGCAUCUCCAACGGCGACCCUCAAACCUCCCGCAUACGUCCAGACAACGCUGUCCGGACAACUGAAGCCAUCUAACACAGGGCUUGUGUUCUGCUCAGGAAGACAAGACGGCAGCGGCUACCUGAAGUUGGAAUAAGGUUCUCCCCCACCUAGCCUCCAUUAUGAUGGCGCGUCUAGCACUAUCAAAGGGCGUGUGGAUGUGUGUUUUUGGCGGAUCUCACGGGAUUCGGUUGGCGUUUGUCUUCAGAGGAUCCAUUUGGAUCCGGUCUUCGUUCGUCUGUGUUCAUGCGUCUUCAGAUUGGAUCCUUCGUUCUACUCUUCUCUUCAUCGGCGGCGGUUGCUGUUUAGGUGUGUUGGUCCUAUUGGACCUUAGCACGACGAUUAAUUCUCAACUAUCAACUACAACAAGGUUUGCUCUGCUCC
RNA transcript from Triticum dicoccoides, 2050 nucleotides. It is a transcript of the gene named serine carboxypeptidase-like 7, with no coding region annotated. NCBI's taxonomy places the organism in Eukaryota, Viridiplantae, Streptophyta, Magnoliopsida, Poales, Poaceae. The record is from RefSeq and is a predicted model, not a curated record. The transcript has 16 exons.